RNAcentral lists this long non-coding RNA (864 nucleotides) under Heterocephalus glaber (naked mole-rat). RNAcentral's name for it is "lncRNA (ENSHGLG00100035747.1)". The record is from RNAcentral. Lineage: Eukaryota; Metazoa; Chordata; Mammalia; Rodentia; Bathyergidae.
CAUCUUCCCUGCCCUGGCUGCAGCACAAUUUUUUUUGCUAUGCUGCUUCUGGUUCAGCUGCACUGAGGAAGGGGAAGGGGACUGCAAUGAUCAACAUGUGAAAUAUGAAAACUUGCAUGAAGGGAAGCAGUGUUCAUUUUGAUCCUGAAAGCUGUACCAGACCAGGAAUAAUGGAACACAGGACCAUUUCUCAAGUGAAUAUUAAAUUGCCUCUUGAGGAUUGGAAAACUGAAAUCUGAUCUGGUAAGGCAUCUUGCUUCAGUUUCAUCAGCCUCCUCUCCCAGCCUUCAGAUGAGGUGUAUCACUGGCUGCCAGCACUUACUGCAGAUCCAGGUCUUCCGCUAGUUGUGGCCAUGAAUGACAAGAGAAUGUUCUAGAGCACACCACCCAGAGAGAAGAGGCCCAGGUGUGCACCAGACUCCCAGGCUCUUGCUUUGUCCCAAUGUGAUGUGUGGUCUUCACCCGGCACCCUGUCACCAAGUGGUCCCAGCCAGGAUACUUGGAGUCGAGAUCAAACCUGAGCUGGAAGCCUAACUAGGCCCUGUAGACUAGAGGCAAGUUUGUUCGAGUUUUCAUUUCUUUGUCUAUAGAGUUGAAUAAUUAUAGCAUUGAACUCAUUGGAUAGUUGCAUAGAUUAAAUGAGGUGUACAUAAAUCAUUUAGCUCAGUGUCCAGAAUGGAGUAAAAGUUCAAUAAAUAAAUAUAUGUGAUUAUUAUAUCUAGCUGAACCUGAAUCUUCUAAAUUCUUGACCUAGAAGACUUCAUGGUCCAGUAACUUAAGUUGACAAGAAAUUAAAUAUUUAUAUUUAUUUUACAUUUAACUAAAUAUACUCUAGAUAUAAUAAAUCUAAAUAAAUAAAUAAAC